UUCUUCAAUAUUGAGUUGGCUAUUGAGAACCUUUUGACUCUCCAUAUAAACUUUACAAUGAGUUUGUCAAUAUCUAUAAAAUAACUUGCUGGGAUUUUUAUUGGGAUUGCAUCGAAUUUAUAGGUCCAGUUUGAAGAACUGACAUCUUGACAAAAUGAAUCUUCCUAUCCAUGAAUAUGGGAUAACUUUCCAUAUAUUUAGUUCAGAGUUUUAUAGUUUUCCUCAUACAGAACUUGUUUAAAUUUUGUCAGAUUUAUAGCUAAGUUUUUCUUGGGGGGGGUGCUAAUGUAAAUAAUAAUGUAAUAGUGUAUGUUUGAGUUAAUUAAAGGGAGAUUCUUCUGGGUGGGCCUGGCCUAACGAGGUAAGCCUCUUGAAAGAGGAGUUAGGUCUUCGCUGAGAUCAGAAAGGUUCUGACCCUGGGCUCAAAGAAGAUUAAGCCUCCAUGAGUCCUAUAGUUGCAAGGAAGUUCGUUACAUAAGCAGGGAAGAGGGACCUGAGCCUCAGACUAGUUCCCAGCUCCAGCUAACAUUUUGCAGCCUUGGGAGACCUGGAGCAGAGGACCUCGCUAAGUCUCAGCAACACUCAUGGAAACUAUAAGAUAAUACAUGUGUGUCACUUUAAAUUACUUAGUUUGUGAUAAUUCAUUACACAGGAACAGAAAACUAAUAUGGUAUAUAUAACACUGACCUCUGGGGGGAAUAGGAAGUUGGGGAAUGCAAAUAUGGGGUUCCCCAUUUUUCAAUUUUUAAAAAUAAUAAAACUAUACAUUGUACAAAAGUAAGAGAAUGUAAACUCAUCAUCUGUAUCAGUCAGUUGAGAUGCUAUUUAAAGUUUAAACACAUGGUUAUAAUUAUCUGUUCAAUUUAAAAAUUUUCAUGACUUUAGUGCAGGUUUUCUCAAUCUCAACAGUAUUGGCGUUUUGAGCCAAAUGAUUCUUUGUUCAGAAGGCUGUCCUGUAUAUUGUAGGACGUAGCGACACCCCUGUCCUCUGCUCACUAGAAACCAGUAGUAUCUCCUCUUAUGCCCCUGUUGCGACAACUAGAAAGUCUCUAGAUAACGCCAAAAGUCUCUAGAGAGACAGCGCCUCUUGAGAACCACUGCCUUAGAGGUUUCAUCUAAGAAUAUUUUCUUGUAGGGGCACCUGGGUGGCUCAGUGGUUGAGCAUCUGCCUUUGGCUCAGGGCAUGAUCCCCGGGUCCUGGGAUCGAGUCCUGCAACAGGCUCCCUGCAUGGAGCCUGCUUCUCCCUCUGCCUAUGUCUCUGCCUCUCUCUGUGUGUCUCUCAUGAAUAAAUAAAUAGAAUCUUUUUUAAAAAAUAAUAUUUUCUUGUAAUUGGAAAAGUAAAUUAUCUAAAAUUUUAAA
RNAcentral lists this long non-coding RNA (1360 nucleotides) under Canis lupus familiaris (dog). RNAcentral's name for it is "lncRNA (ENSCAFG00040007409.1)". The record is from RNAcentral. Lineage: Eukaryota; Metazoa; Chordata; Mammalia; Carnivora; Canidae.